RNAcentral lists this long non-coding RNA (358 nucleotides) under Polistes fuscatus (common paper wasp). Its description in RNAcentral is "uncharacterized LOC122516074". Lineage: Eukaryota; Metazoa; Arthropoda; Insecta; Hymenoptera; Vespidae. The record is from RNAcentral.
AACAAGUGAAUUAUUGUUUUAGUAAAAUUUCGAUGUCAACCACGGCCAAAGUCUUGUGUUCCACUGAGCUGUUUUCAUUUUUAAAGUCGAACCAUUGACGGACUAAGAAAUGACAAUUGAUACCACAUGAAUUUUACGGAUUGACUCAGCUAUCGUAAACGAACAUUGUUGGAAAUAAGAAAGCGUGUAUAUUUGAGAACUAUUGAGAAUGAAAUAUGUAAUAAAUAAAUCAUUACAUAGGAUUGAUAAUAGAAACUAUGAUAGCGCAAUUGAUAAUUCGUGAUUUGUAUUAUUCUAGAUGAAAAAUGUUCGUUAUUGUAUUUAAAAAUAUCGAUAAUACAUGUAUUUACUGCAUUUA